RNAcentral lists this ribosomal RNA (231 nucleotides) under uncultured Staphylococcus sp. RNAcentral describes it as "partial 16S ribosomal RNA". It matches the Rfam family "Bacterial small subunit ribosomal RNA", at positions 109 to 334 of the family's 1533-position model. The record is from RNAcentral. Lineage: Bacteria; Bacillati; Bacillota; Bacilli; Caryophanales; Staphylococcaceae.
AGUAACACGUGGAUAACCUACAUAUAAGACUGGGAUAACUUCGGGAAACCGGAGCUAAUACCGGAUAAUAUUUUGAACCGCAUGGUUCAAAAGUGAGAGACGGUCUUGCUGUCACUUAUAGAUGGAUCCGCGCUGCAUUAGCUAGUUGGUAAGGUAACGGCUUACCAAGGCAACGAUGCAUAGCCGACCUGAGAGGGUGAUCGGCCACACUGGAACUGAGACACGGUCCAG